AACAGGAUUAGAUACCCUGGUAGUCCACGCCGUAAACGAUGUCGACUUGGAGGUUGUUCCCUUGAGGAGUGGCUUCCGGAGCUAACGCGUUAAGUCGACCGCCUGGGGAGUACGGCCGCAAGGUUAAAACUCAAAUGAAUUGACGGGGGCCCGCACAAGCGGUGGAGCAUGUGGUUUAAUUCGAUGCAACGCGAAGAACCUUACCUACUCUUGACAUCCACGGAAUUCGGCAGAGAUGCCUUAGUGCCUUCGGGAACCGUGAGACAGGUGCUGCAUGGCUGUCGUCAGCUCGAGUUGUGAAAUGUUGGGUUGAGUCCCGCAACGAGCGCAACCCUUAUCCUUUGUUGCCAGCGAUUCGGUCGGGAACUCAAAGGAGACUGCCGGUGAUAAACCGGAGGAAGGUGGGGAUGACGUCAAGUCAUCAUGGCCCUUACGAGUAGGGCUACACACGUGCUACAAUGGCGCAUACAAAGAGAAGCGACCUCGCGAGAGCAAGCGGACCUCAUAAAGUGCGUCGUAGUCCGGAUCGGAGUCUGCAACUCGACUCCGUGAAGUCGGAAUCGCUAGUAAUCGUGGAUCAGAAUGCCACGGUGAAUACGUUCCCGGGCCUUGUACACACCGCCCGUCACACCAUGGGAGUGGGUUGCAAAAGAAGUAGGUAGCUUAACCUUCGGGAGGGCGCUUACCACUUUGUGAUUCAUGACUGGGGUGAAGUCGUAACAAGGUAACC
Molecule: ribosomal RNA, 730 nt
Filed under: uncultured bacterium
Lineage: Bacteria
Description: bacterial SSU rRNA
Rfam family: Bacterial small subunit ribosomal RNA
Source: RNAcentral